RNAcentral lists this non-coding RNA (46 nucleotides) under Schistosoma bovis. The record is from RNAcentral. RNAcentral also lists the same sequence under 1 other name. Lineage: Eukaryota; Metazoa; Platyhelminthes; Trematoda; Strigeidida; Schistosomatidae.
GAACUGCUGAAGAGUCCGAUACUAGGACGAAACAACCUUCCAGUGC